UGUGAGUGGUGUUUGGGAUGUGUGUGUCGGCUGGCUCCGUGCUUUCCGCAUCGAACUGUCGACCCUCACUCCUCUUCAAUCUUUCCCCCGCGGUCGUUGCGCGGGGGGUGCGAUGGGUAUCCUGUGCUGCUUUCCUAUAACGCGAUGGAAUUCGGUUGUCGUGCCGUCCCUUGUCCACCCGGCGGCCUUACGGGCCGCGAGAUGGACGUCACUCGUGCCCGGUGUCCGCGGUGCGCCCCCGAAUUCGGCUCGGCCGCCUCGGGGCACCGGUGCAUGACCGUGCUUACGGGUGCGGGAAGCUAUGUGGGCUUGGGGCCACGGCCCCGUUCGUUCGACGCGAUGCGUUCUGUCCCUCGAUACGCACGACGCUCGUGCCCCGUCUUGGACUCUUCGUUGCCCGCGCGGCGCGUUGCGGCCCAUGCGGAGCCGGGGUCGCG
RNAcentral lists this unclassified non-coding RNA (437 nucleotides) under Spirotheca elegans. Its description in RNAcentral is "partial external transcribed spacer". The record is from RNAcentral. Lineage: Eukaryota; Viridiplantae; Streptophyta; Magnoliopsida; Malvales; Malvaceae.